GGCCGCGGGAAUUCGAUUCAGGCCUAACACAUGCAAGUCGAACGGCAGCACGGACUUCGGUCUGGUGGCGAGUGGCGAACGGGUGAGUAAUAUAUCGGAACGUGCCCAGUCGUGGGGGAUAACGUAGUGAAAAUUACGCUAAUACCGCAUACGAUCUACGGAUGAAAGCGGGGGAUCGCAAGACCUCGCGCGAUUGGAGCGGCCGAUAUCAGAUUAGGUAGUUGGUGAGGUAAAGGCUCACCAAGCCGACGAUCUGUAGCUGGUCUGAAAGGACGACCAGCCACACUGGAACUGAGACACGGUCCAGACUCCUACGGGAGGCAGCAGUGGGGAAUUUUGGACAAUGGACGCAAGUCUGAUCCAGCCAAGCCGCGUGCAGGACGAGGGCCUUCGGGUUGUAAACUUAAUGGUACAGAACGAAAAGGUCUCUAUUAAUACUAGGGGC
This 445-nucleotide ribosomal RNA is filed under the name uncultured bacterium. RNAcentral's name for it is "bacterial SSU rRNA". It matches the Rfam family "Bacterial small subunit ribosomal RNA", at positions 39 to 473 of the family's 1533-position model. The record is from RNAcentral.